Panicum hallii is the source of this 1296-nucleotide long non-coding RNA. RefSeq lists it as uncharacterized. The record is from RefSeq and is a predicted model, not a curated record. The transcript is spliced from 3 exons. Lineage: Eukaryota; Viridiplantae; Streptophyta; Magnoliopsida; Poales; Poaceae.
CUGGAAUGACUGGCUCUAUCCGUCACACCCAUCACGCACGACCUUAUCCUUUCCAUCGUGGCUAGGCAUCUUCCUCUUCUCCGCUGUUCACACAAACGCAGACACGCUGCCCUCUCCAUUCUCGUGAGCCGCUCUCUCCCAAUCCUUCGAUUCGUUCGUUAACCUCUGGUGGAAUCGUGGCCGAUGGCCGGCGACGACGCAGUGAUGUUCCGUGGUGGUGGCCGCCGCGGUGGUUUUGGUGGCCAUGGAGGCAUGAUCGAGGAUGCGUUGCCUCAUAGUCCAGGAUUUUACCUUUAUGGCGCCAUUGGCUUGCCAUUGGGCAAUUGAACACGCGGAUCAAUUCCCAACGUUGUAAGAUUCGUUCCUUUUUUAAUAUAUUUUUUACUACACAUGAAUAAUUUCUAAAUUUACUUACAUACAAUGGAGUUUAUCAACAAUAUUAGAUGGCUCAAAGAUGUUGCCGAAGCUGUGGAUGGUACUACUCUAGUAGUGCAAACCGAGGUUGUUCGUCAACCUUAUUUCAAACAAGUACAUAUAUCUUUUCAAGCACCUGUUCGAAAUAUAGACUUCACCUUGAUGGCACCAGGAGAUACCAUCCCGAUGGUUUCAAUUGCCGCAAUGGGUGGAGUUGCACCAAAUUGGGUAACUUAUGAGAGGCUACCCGUGGAGGCCUACCUAGAGCAGUUUCAGGAUCAUGGGUACUUUGUGCUAGACUUUUCAUAUUUUCAAAUAAAGCAGCUCGAAGCGGGAGAAAGCAAUGUUACUCAGACUGUUGAGAGGCUUUGUUAGCUUAAUCAAGAUAACAGGGAUCUCCUCCAAGGUACUACCUAUGCGGCAAUGAGCUUUCUAGCGAUUCUGGAUCAAGUCAUUGAAGCGGUGGAUGUAACUUACAUGGGUGGAGAGCCAUUAUUCACCAAAGGUUUGAAGUUUCAAGCAAAACUCACCUUCUACAAGCCAAAUUAGCUUAACACUCCAUUGUUCGAUAUUUAUAGUACUGUAUGUGUCUAUCAUUGGCAAGCGAAGAAGAGUGCACUUGUCUGUGCUUUAGCUUAUUCUGAUGAAGUUCUAGGCUGGACGAUUGGAGACCUUAACUAUCUUCCAUAUCUACAGAAGUGGGUCGGAGGAGCAUGAAUGUGUAAUAUGUAUGGAUGUACCCUUACCCUUUUCUUAUGGAUUUGAACUUGCACUAUUGUAAGAACUUAAGACCUAAAGUAUUGAUGUACGAACUUGCACUAUUGUAAGAACAGUAGUAUGGAUGUACCCUUACUCUUUUCUUAUUGAGGUCGUAACUGGUUA